Molecule: non-coding RNA, 73 nt
Organism: Rhagoletis zephyria (snowberry fruit fly)
Lineage: Eukaryota; Metazoa; Arthropoda; Insecta; Diptera; Tephritidae
Source: the annotation of a RefSeq genome assembly
GCUCUUGUGGCGCAAUCGGCAGCGCGUUCGGCUGUUAACCGAAAGGUCGUUAGUUCGAUCCUAACCAAGAGCG